UCCUACGGGGGGCAGCAGUGAGGAAUAUUGGUCAAUGGCCGAGAGGCUGAACCAGCCAAGUCGCGUGAGGGAUGACGGCCCUACGGGUUGUAAACCUCUUUUGUCGGGGAGCAAGACCCGCCUCGUGCAGGCGGAGCGAGAGUACCCGAGGAAAAAGCAUCGGCUAACUCCGUGCCAGCAGCCGCGGUAAUACGGAGGAUGCGAGCGUUAUCCGGAUUUAUUGGGUUUAAAGGGUGCGCAGGCGGACCAUCAAGUCAGCGGUAAAAUCGGGGGGCCCGACACACUCCCGCCGUUGAAACUGGCGG
This 305-nucleotide ribosomal RNA is filed under the name uncultured bacterium. RNAcentral's name for it is "bacterial SSU rRNA". It matches the Rfam family "Bacterial small subunit ribosomal RNA", at positions 337 to 639 of the family's 1533-position model. The record is from RNAcentral.